CCACUCACCGGCAAAUGGCUGCGGAAUUUACCUCCCUUAUUAAUACUCUCUACUAUAAGAGGUAGCAGCUGUCAACAUUGUCAACGUCCGUCAACAUUUGAAGAGGAGCAUGUGAUGAUGUAGGGAGUGUCGCGGUCAUGGAAAAGCAAGAUCUGUUGUCCCCGGCAUCAGGACCGUCACCGACAAUGUCUUCAGUGUCAGAUAUGGCCAGAAAACAGACAGAAUCACCGACUGCCAGUACGGGCAAGAUGAGCCGCUUGAACGCCGCGGCCAUCGCCCUCCAUCGCAGCACCAGACUUCCGGAAGAGUUUGCAUGUCAGGACGCCAUGACGUCUCGCUCGGAACACGUGAAAGUAGUGACGUCAACGGAAAGGACUGCUCUGUGACAAGUGUCAAAUUUUGAUUCUAAAUGCGUGACGGACACAUUCAAUUAUAUUUUUUUAUGUUUGAUUAUGGCUGUUUUAUAUUAACAAAUGCGGGUGUCAUUGUAAUUGUAGUCCAAUAUUUUAUGUCAUAAAUUUUCUUGUGUCUAGUAGUUAAUGGGAGACUGUGGAAUUUGCAUAUAUAUGAUGUACCAUAUCAGCAUCCUUUUCGCUCGUUUCAUGAUGCCAACUCAUCAUAUAAGUACUAAAAGUACUGGAUUGUUUAAAACAUAUCUGUUUCACUUUGAAAGUUCGUUGGUAUUUUAAGAAAUUGUAUAUUUUAUAUGUUAUAUUCAUUUACUCGAUGUUUUAGCUCAGACUAUGUUGUAUGGUUGUGCGAUUGUUGCCUUUCAGAAAAUAAAUGUUCAAAGCUG
Molecule: long non-coding RNA, 796 nt
Organism: Mya arenaria
Lineage: Eukaryota; Metazoa; Mollusca; Bivalvia; Myida; Myidae
Exons: 3
Source: RefSeq, a predicted model, not a curated record